UACGGAGGGAGCAAGCGUUACUCGGAAUCACUGGGCGUAAAGGGCGCGUAGGCGGCCUAGCAAGUCUGGUGUGAAAGCCCAGGGCUCAACCCUGGAAGGGCACUGGAAACUGUUAGGCUUGAGUUCCGGAGAGGAGGGGGGAAUUCCAGGUGUAGCGGUGAAAUGCGUAGAUAUCGGGAGGAAUACCGGUGGCGAAGGCGCCCCUCUGGACGGAAACUGACGCUGAGGCGAGAAAGCGUGGGGAGCAAACAGG
RNAcentral lists this ribosomal RNA (253 nucleotides) under uncultured bacterium. RNAcentral's name for it is "partial 16S ribosomal RNA". It matches the Rfam family "Bacterial small subunit ribosomal RNA", at positions 524 to 776 of the family's 1533-position model. The record is from RNAcentral.